RNAcentral lists this ribosomal RNA (390 nucleotides) under uncultured bacterium. RNAcentral's name for it is "bacterial SSU rRNA". It matches the Rfam family "Bacterial small subunit ribosomal RNA", at positions 29 to 413 of the family's 1533-position model. The record is from RNAcentral.
AACGAACGCUGGCGGCGCGUCUUAAGCAUGCAAGUCGGACGGUAAGGAAGGAGCUUGCUUCUUCCCUAGAGUGGCGGACUGGUGAGGAACGCGUGGGUGACGCACCCUUCGGACGGGGAUAGCCGGUAGAAAUACCGGGUAAUACCGGAUAAGAGCGCCUCCUUAGAGGGAGGCGGAGAAAGCGGCUUCGGCCGCGCCGGAGGAACGGCCGCGUGCUAUUAGCUAGUUGGCGGGGUAACGGCCCACCAAGGCGACGAUAGCUAUCCGGCCUGAGAGGGUGAACGGACACAUUGGGACUGAGAUACGGCCCAGACUCCUACGGGAGGCAGCAGCUAAGAAUAUCCGCAAUGGGGGAAACCCUGACGGAGCGACGCCGCGUGGAUGAUGAAG